AGGCAGCAGUGAGGAAUAUUGGUCAAUGGGCGUAAGCCUGAACCAGCCAAGUCGCGUGAGGGAUGAAGGUUUAUGGAUCGUAAACCUCUUUUAUAAGGGAAUAAGUGUGGGACGUGUCCUAUUUUGUAUGUACCUUAUGAAUAAGGAUCGGCUAACUCCGUGCCAGCAGCCGCGGUAGUACGGAGGAUCCGAGCGUUAUCCGGAUUUAUUGGGUUUAAAGGGUGCGUAGGCGGCCUUUUAAGUCAGCGGUGAAAGUCUGUGGCUCAACCAUAGAAUUGCCGUUGAAACUGGGGGGCUUGAGUAUGUUUGAGGCAGGCGGAAUGCGU
RNAcentral lists this ribosomal RNA (326 nucleotides) under uncultured bacterium. RNAcentral's name for it is "bacterial SSU rRNA". It matches the Rfam family "Bacterial small subunit ribosomal RNA", at positions 346 to 671 of the family's 1533-position model. The record is from RNAcentral.